CCUACGGGUGACAGCAGUAGGGAAUAUUGCUCAAUGGGGGAAACCCUGAAGCAGCAACGCCGCGUGGAGGAUGAAGGUUUUCGGAUUGUAAACUCCUUUUGUUAGAGAAGAUAAUGACGGUAUCUAACGAAUAAGCACCGGCUAACUCCGUGCCAGCAGCCGCGGUAAUACGGAGGGUGCAAGCGUUACUCGGAAUCUCUGGGCGUAAAGAGCGCGUAGGGGGGAUAGCAAGUCAGAUGUGAAAUCCUAUGGCUUAACCAUAGAACUGCAGUUGAAACUGGUAUUCUAGAGUAUGGGAGAGGUAGGUGGAAUUCGUGGUGUAGCGGUAAAAUGCGUAGAGAUCAAGAGGAAUACUCAUUGCGAAGGCGACCUGCUAGAACAUAACUGACGCUGAUGCGCGAAAGCGUGGGGAGCAAACAGGAUUAGAUACCCUUGUAGUC
This 440-nucleotide ribosomal RNA is filed under the name uncultured bacterium. RNAcentral's name for it is "partial 16S ribosomal RNA". It matches the Rfam family "Bacterial small subunit ribosomal RNA", at positions 338 to 795 of the family's 1533-position model. The record is from RNAcentral.